GACUCAACACGGGAAAUCUCACCAGGCCCGGACACCGGAAGGAUUGACAGAUUAAUAGCUCUUUCUUGAUUCGGUGGGUGGUGGUGCAUGGCCGUUCUUAGUUGGUGGAGCGAUUUGUCUGGUUAAUUCCGGUAACGAACGAGACUCUAGCCUGCUAAAUAGGCGUCGUCAUUCAGGUGGGUGCGGCUUUCGGGUCGCGCCACUCACUGGCGACGUGAAUAAAUUCUUCUUAGAGGGACCGGCGGUUUCGAGCCGCACGAGAUUGAGCAAUAACAAAACUGUGAUGCCCUUAGAUGUCCUGGGCCGCACGC
This 311-nucleotide ribosomal RNA is filed under the name Ectoedemia populella (poplar petiolegall moth). RNAcentral's name for it is "SSU rRNA". It matches the Rfam family "Eukaryotic small subunit ribosomal RNA", at positions 1197 to 1494 of the family's 1831-position model. Lineage: Eukaryota; Metazoa; Arthropoda; Insecta; Lepidoptera; Nepticulidae. The record is from RNAcentral.